RNAcentral lists this microRNA precursor (190 nucleotides) under Oryza sativa Japonica Group (Japanese rice). RNAcentral describes it as "MIR812 microRNA precursor family". It matches the Rfam family "MIR812 microRNA precursor family", at positions 27 to 205 of the family's 205-position model. Lineage: Eukaryota; Viridiplantae; Streptophyta; Magnoliopsida; Poales; Poaceae. The record is from Rfam by way of RNAcentral.
GUUAGAUGUAAAGACUUUACGUGUGACAACUCAUCCCAGAAUUCUUUAUUAAUAGUAUUUUCAUUGUUAUUAGAUGAUAAAAUAUAAAUAGUACUUUAUGUGUGAUAAUUUUUUUAAAAAAAAUUCAUAAAUUUUUCAAAUAAGACAGACGGUCAAACGUUGGACAUGAAUACCCACGGCUACACUUAUU